This 392-nucleotide ribosomal RNA is filed under the name uncultured bacterium. RNAcentral's name for it is "partial 16S ribosomal RNA". It matches the Rfam family "Bacterial small subunit ribosomal RNA", at positions 355 to 738 of the family's 1533-position model. The record is from RNAcentral.
UGGGGAAUAUUGCACAAUGGGCGCAAGCCUGAUGCAGCCAUGCCGCGUGUGUGAAGAAGGCCUUCGGGUUGUAAAGCACUUUCAGCGAGGAGGAAGGUGGUGAACUUAAUACGUCCAUCAAUUGACGUUACUCGCAGAAGAAGCACCGGCUAACUCCGUGCCAGCAGCCGCGGUAAUACGGAGGGUGCAAGCGUUAAUCGGAAUUACUGGGCGUAAAGCGCACGCAGGCGGUUUGUUAAGUCAGAUGUGAAAUCCCCGGGCUCAACCUGGGAACUGCAUUUGAAACUGGCAAGCUAGAGUCUCGUAGAGGGGGGUAGAAUUCCAGGUGUAGCGGUGAAAUGCGUAGAGAUCUGGAGGAAUAUCGGUGGCGAAGGCGGCCCCCCUGGANGAAG